CCUACGGGAGGCAGCAGUGAGGAAUAUUGGUCAAUGGACGAGAGUCUGAACCAGCCAAGUAGCGUGAAGGAUGACUGCCCUAUGGGUUGUAAACUUCUUUUAUAUGGGAAUAAAAUGUUCCACGUGUGGGAUUUUGUAUGUACCAUAUGAAUAAGGAUCGGCUAACCCCGUGCCAGCAGCCGCGGUAAUACGGAGGAUCCGAGCGUUAUCCGGAUUUAUUGGGUUUAAAGGGAGCGUAGGUGGAUUGUUAAGUCAGUUGUGAAAGUUUGCGGCUCAACCGUAGAAUUGCAGUUGAAACUGGCAGUCUUGAGUACAGUAGAGGUGGGCGGAAUUCGUGGUGUAGCGGUGAAAUGCUUAGAGAUCUCGAAGAACUCCGAUUGCGAAGGCAGCUCACUGGACGGCAACUGACACUGAGGCGCGAAAGUGUGGGUAGCAAACAGGAUUAGAUACCCUUGUAGUC
Molecule: ribosomal RNA, 460 nt
Filed under: uncultured bacterium
Lineage: Bacteria
Description: partial 16S ribosomal RNA
Rfam family: Bacterial small subunit ribosomal RNA
Source: RNAcentral